CCCUUAGAUGUCCUGGGCCGCACGCGCGUUACACUGAUGCAUUCAACGAGCUUAUAACCUUGACCGAGAGGCCUGGGCAAUCUUGUUAACGUGCAUCGUGAUAGGGAUAGAUUAUUGAAAUUAUUAAUCUUGAACGAGGAAUUCCUAGUAAACGCAGAUCAUCAAUCUGCAUUGAUUACGUCCCUGCCCUUUGUACACACCGCCCGUCGCUCCUACCGAUUGGGUGUGCUGGUGAAAUGUUCGGAUCGGCCGUUUGUCGCGGUUUCCGCGGCUCGUGGCUGAGAAGUUCAUUAAACCCUCCCACCUAGAGGAAGGAGAAGUCGUAACA
RNAcentral lists this ribosomal RNA (328 nucleotides) under uncultured eukaryote. RNAcentral's name for it is "partial 18S ribosomal RNA". It matches the Rfam family "Eukaryotic small subunit ribosomal RNA", at positions 1470 to 1796 of the family's 1831-position model. The record is from RNAcentral.